GCUUAACGCGAAGAACCUUACCUGGCCUUGACAUCCCAGGAACCCUGAAGAGAUUUAGGGGUGCCGCAAGGAACCUGGAGACAGGUGCUGCAUGGCUGUCGUCAGCUCGUGUCGUGAGAUGUUGGGUUAAGUCCCGCAACGAGCGCAACUCUCGUUCUAUGUUGCCAGCGGUUCGGCCGGGAACUCAUAGGAGACUGCCGGGGUCAACUCGGAGGAAGGUGGGGAUGACGUCAAAUCAUCAUGCCCCUUAUGUCUUGGGCUUCACGCAUGCUACAAUGGCCGGUACAAAGGGCUGCAAUACCGUAAGGUGGAGCGAAUCCCAAAAAGCCGGUCUCAGUUCGGAUUGAGGUCUGCAACUCGACCUCAUGAAGUCGGAGUCGCUAGUAAUCGCAGAUCAGCAACGCUGCGGUGAAUACGUUCCCGGGUCUUGUACACACCG
Molecule: ribosomal RNA, 439 nt
Filed under: uncultured bacterium
Lineage: Bacteria
Description: bacterial SSU rRNA
Rfam family: Bacterial small subunit ribosomal RNA
Source: RNAcentral